UACGGAGGAUUCAAGCGUUAUCCGGAUUUACUGGGUGUAAAGGGUGCGCAGGCGGCCUGUUAAGUCAGCGGUAAAAGCCCGGGGCUCAACCCCGGCGAGCCGUUGAAACUGGCGUUCUUGAGUGAGCGAGAAGUAUGCGGAAUGCGUGGUGUAGCGGUGAAAUGCAUAGAUAUCACGCAGAACCCCGAUUGCGAAGGCAGCGUACCGGCUCCACACUGACGCUGAGGCACGAAAGCGUGGGUAUCGAACAGG
RNAcentral lists this ribosomal RNA (252 nucleotides) under uncultured Bacteroidales bacterium. RNAcentral describes it as "partial 16S ribosomal RNA". It matches the Rfam family "Bacterial small subunit ribosomal RNA", at positions 524 to 776 of the family's 1533-position model. The record is from RNAcentral. Lineage: Bacteria; Pseudomonadati; Bacteroidota; Bacteroidia; Bacteroidales.